This 240-nucleotide unclassified non-coding RNA is filed under the name soil metagenome. Its description in RNAcentral is "partial contains 5.8S ribosomal RNA, internal transcribed spacer 2, and large subunit ribosomal RNA". The record is from RNAcentral.
AAGACUAUAGACCUGCGGAGUACCUGCGGAGGGAUCAUUAUCGAGUAUUGGGGUUCCUUUAGGGCCCCUACUCCCACACCAUGUGUACCUUACCUUACCGUUGCCUCGGCGAGCCGCCCCUGUGGCGCCGGCCCCCUCGCGGGUCCGGAGAGCGCUCGCCGGAGGACCAACCAAAACUCUUUUGUAACCGACGCAGUCUGAGUCUAAUUCUUUGAAUUAAAUUAAAACUUUCAACAACGG